Molecule: signal recognition particle RNA, 298 nt
Filed under: Zalophus californianus (California sea lion)
Lineage: Eukaryota; Metazoa; Chordata; Mammalia; Carnivora; Otariidae
Description: Metazoan signal recognition particle RNA (ENSZCAG00015013482.1)
Rfam family: Metazoan signal recognition particle RNA
About the family: The signal recognition particle (SRP) is a universally conserved ribonucleoprotein. It is involved in the co-translational targeting of proteins to membranes.
Source: RNAcentral
CCUUGGUGUGGGGGUGGUACCUGUAGUCCCAGCUCCUUGAGAGGCUGAGGCAGGAAGACCACCUGAGCCCAGGAGUGCUGGGCUACAGAGCGCUGUGCCGAUUGGGUGUCCACAUGAAUUCCAGCAUUAAGAUGGUGCCCUCUGGGGAGCAGGUGACCACCGUGUUGUCUAAGGAGGGGUGAACCAGCCCACACUGGAAACAGAGCAGGUCAAAACUCCCAUGCUAAUCAGUAGGGGGAAUGUGCCUGUGAAUCGUCACUGCACUCCAGCCUGGGCAACUCAGUGCGACCCCUCCUAU